This 404-nucleotide ribosomal RNA is filed under the name uncultured prokaryote. Its description in RNAcentral is "bacterial SSU rRNA". It matches the Rfam family "Bacterial small subunit ribosomal RNA", at positions 355 to 776 of the family's 1533-position model. RNAcentral also lists the same sequence under 1 other name. The record is from RNAcentral.
UGGGGAAUAUUGCACAAUGGGCGAAAGCCUGAUGCAGCAACGCCGCGUGAGUGAUGAAGGCCUUCGGGUUGUAAAGCUCUGUCUUCUGGGACGAUAAUGACGGUACCAGAGGAGGAAGCCACGGCUAACUACGUGCCAGCAGCCGCGGUAAUACGUAGGUGGCAAGCGUUGUCCGGAUUUACUGGGCGUAAAGGAUGCGUAGGCGGAUAUUUAAGUGAGAUGUGAAAAUCCCGGGCUUAACUUGGGAACUGCAUUUCAAACUGGGUAUCUAGAGUGCAGGAGAGGAAAGCGGAAUUCCUAGUGUAGCGGUGAAAUGCGUAGAGAUUAGGAAGAACACCAGUGGCGAAGGCGGCUUUCUGGACUGUAACUGACGCUGAGGCAUGAAAGCGUGGGGAGCAAACAGG